Molecule: long non-coding RNA, 1097 nt
Organism: Spodoptera frugiperda (fall armyworm)
Lineage: Eukaryota; Metazoa; Arthropoda; Insecta; Lepidoptera; Noctuidae
Exons: 2
Source: RefSeq, a predicted model, not a curated record
CUGUAUUGUAUUUCCUCAAAACAAACCUUAAGAUUUCGCGAUAACUUUAGGAAUAGGAAGUAAAAAUAACUAACUCUGCUUAUGAUUUUAUUUACCAUUGAACUAGAUGUGUUAAAAAAUAACGAAAGAAUAAUAUAUUUUCCACAAGGUUUCACAGCGUUUUCGGCCGCGGUAAUGUAGAUUUAUUAGAACUGCAAAAGAGCUUCUAUAAACUUUCAUUUAGCGUGUAACUCCCACGAGUCGCCCUUUUUCUCUCUCAUAAAUUCAUUAAAAAGGUUCAGUGUUUUAGACUUAAAAAAGAAAGUAAAAAUGUAUGACCGUACUCAGGAUAAUAGUUAAUGCUUUAAUACAUUUAGGGUCUUACUAAUAAACAUUUAUACACGCUGUAUACACGCUGUAUACACGUGUUAUAGCAUAUUCAUUACUAAUAAUCAAUGUAUAGGGGUUGUCAUCUUAUACACCCGUUAUAACAGUUGUAUAAGUGUAUGUCAUUUUACACAAUCCUUAUUCAGUCAAAUAAGCUUGUUUAGCGUGUGAAUAACCAACAAAUAACUUAUUGUCGUGGCUUAUCUCGUAAUAUAUUUUAAUUUAGUGGUUAUGAUGGAUUAUUUCGAAUAUCUGCGCCAUUUUAAUAUUCUUGAGUUGGACAAUGAGAAACGACCAAGAAAGGCAAAACCUUAUAAAACACGUAUUGAUUUCUUUUCUUUCGAAAAAGAUGAAUGUAAACGUAAAUACAGGUUUACUAAGAGAUAUGUCAGAGAAGUGGUGGACUUGAUCCGAGAAGACAUAGAACAAACAAAGAAGGUUGGCUGGCGGCUUCUCUGUGGAGCUUCAAGUUUGUGUAGCUCUCAGGGUAUGGGCGUAGUACAAGACGAUGCAGCUAACAUACACGGCAAGAGUCAAAAAUCAAACACUUACUUCCUCUUGCUGUACUGUAAAUUCUUUAAAUGUUUGAAACUGGUAAUCAGCCACCAUUUCAUCAACAACAGAGUCAGGCAUCAUACGAUAUUACUGGACAAAUUGCAAGACAAUUGUUUAUAAGAACACAGUUUUAACAAACAUUUCCUUAAAAUAAAAGAACAAGUUUAUACUGAGAA